AGAACGAACGCUGGCGGCAGGCCUCAAACAUGCAAGUCUAGGGGGCGUAGCAAUACGUCACCGGCGGACGGGUGCGUAACACGUGGGAAUGUACUUACUGGUUCGGAACAACUCAGGGAAACUUGAGCUAAUACCGAAUGAGCCCGAAAGGGGAAAGAUUUAUCGCCCAGUAAAUCAGCCCGCGUCCGAUUAGCUAGUUGGUGGGGUAAAGGCCCACCAAGGCGACGAUCGGUAGCUGUUCUGAGAGGAAGAUCAGCCACACUGGGACUGAGACACGGCCCAGACUCCUACGGGAGGCAGCAGUUGGGAAUCUUGGACAAUGGGGAAACCCUGAUCCAGCCAUGCCGCGUGAGUGAUGAAGGCCUUAGGGUUGUAAAACUCUUUCGACGGGGACGAUAAUGACGGUACCCGUAGAAGAAGCUCCGGCUAACUUCGUGCCAGCAGCCGC
Molecule: ribosomal RNA, 448 nt
Filed under: uncultured bacterium
Lineage: Bacteria
Description: SSU rRNA
Rfam family: Bacterial small subunit ribosomal RNA
Source: RNAcentral